GGAAGGGNAGCGAAGAGGCUAAACGCGGCGGACUGUAAAUCCGCUCCUUCGGGUUCGGGGGUUCGAAUCCCUCCCCUUCCA
Molecule: transfer RNA, 81 nt
Filed under: Streptococcus sanguinis
Lineage: Bacteria; Bacillati; Bacillota; Bacilli; Lactobacillales; Streptococcaceae
Also listed under: 1 other name
Description: tRNA-Tyr
Rfam family: tRNA
About the family: Transfer RNA (tRNA) molecules are approximately 80 nucleotides in length.
Source: RNAcentral